CGUCGCGGCCUAUCAGCUUGUUGGUGGGGUAAUGGGCUACCAAGGCGUCGACGGGUAGUCGGCCUGAGAGGGGUGUACGGGCCACAUUGGGACUGAGAUACGGCCCAGACUCCUACGGGAGGCAGCAGUGGGGGAAUAUUGCACAAUGGGCGCAAGCCUGAUGCAGCGACGCCGCGUGGGGGAUGACGGCCUUCGGGUUGUAAACUCCUUUCGCAACCGACGAAGCUUUUGUGACGUAGGUUGACGAAGAAGCACCGGCUAACUACGUGCCAGCAGCCGCGGUAAUACGUAGGGUGCGUAGCGUUGUCCGGAAUUACUGGGCGUAAAGAGCCCCGUAGGUGGUUUGUCGCGUCGUUUGUGGAAUACCGCAGCUUAACUGCGGGGUUGCAGGCGAUACGGGCAUAACUUGAGUGCUGUAGGGGAGACUGGAAUUCCUGGUGUAGCGGUGGAAUGCGCAGAUAUCAGGAGGAACACCGAUGGCGAAGGCAGGUCUCUGGGCAGUAACUGACGCUGAGGAGCGAAAGCA
RNAcentral lists this ribosomal RNA (526 nucleotides) under uncultured bacterium. RNAcentral's name for it is "bacterial SSU rRNA". It matches the Rfam family "Bacterial small subunit ribosomal RNA", at positions 229 to 761 of the family's 1533-position model. The record is from RNAcentral.